Long non-coding RNA from Pollicipes pollicipes, 214 nucleotides. RefSeq lists it as uncharacterized. The record is from RefSeq and is a predicted model, not a curated record. Lineage: Eukaryota; Metazoa; Arthropoda; Thecostraca; Pollicipedomorpha; Pollicipedidae. The transcript has 3 exons.
CCCCACCACCACCACCGAGCCGCCCACCACCACCAGGAGGUACAGGGGGAUCAGUCGUCUGCGACCGACUCGGCGCCGCCGACCAGUGGUGACCUUCCCGCCGUACCGGCCCCGACCCAAACCUGAGCAAGACGUGGUGCGGGACUCACCGAUCCAGAUCCCGGGCCUGGGUGGCGCGCCGGAGGACCAGUUCUACGGCAAUUUCGGCGACAGA